CGAGUCAUUGUAGCAAUACAAGGCAUACGGCUCAGUAACGCGUAGUCAACCUAACCUAUGGACGGGAAUAACCUCGGGAAACUGAGAAUAAUGCCCGAUAGAACAUUAUACCUGGAAUGGUUUAUGUUCCAAAUGAUUUAUCGCCGUAGGAUGGGACUGCGGCCUAUCAGUUUGUUGGUGAGGUAAUGGCCCACCAAGACUAUUACAGGUACGGGCUCUGAGAGGAGUAGCCCGGAGAUGGGUACUGAGACACGGACCCAGGCCCUAUGGGGCGCAGCAGGCGAGAAAACUUUGCAAUGUGCGAAAGCACGACAAGGUUAAUCCGAGUGAUUUCUGCUAAAGAAAUCUUUUGUUAGUCCUAGAAACACUAACGAAUAAGGGGUGGGCAAGUUCUGGUGUCAGCCGCCGCGGUAAAACCAGCACCUCAAGUGGUCAGGAUGAUUAUUGGGCCUAAAGCAUCCGUAGCCGGCUCUGUAAGUUUUCGGUUAAAUCUGUACGCUUAACGUACAGGCCGCCGGGAAUACUGCAAAGCUAGGGAGUGGGAGAAGUAGACGGUACUCGGUAGGAAGUGGUAAAAUGCUUUGAUCUAUCGAUGACCACCUGUGGCGAAGGCGGUCUACUAGAACACGUCCGACGGUGAGGGAUGAAAGCUGGGGGAGCAAACCGGAUUAGAUACCCGGGUAGUCCCAGCUGUAAACUAUGCAAACUCAGUGAUGCAUUGGCUUGUGGCCAAUGCAGUGCUGCAGGGAAGCCGUUAAGUUUGCCGCCUGGGAAGUACGUACGCAAGUAUGAAACUUAAAGGAAUUGGCGGGGGAGCACCACAAGGGGUGAAGCCUGCGGUUCAAUUGGAUUCAACGCCGGG
RNAcentral lists this ribosomal RNA (862 nucleotides) under uncultured archaeon. RNAcentral describes it as "bacterial SSU rRNA". It matches the Rfam family "Archaeal small subunit ribosomal RNA", at positions 54 to 922 of the family's 1478-position model. The record is from RNAcentral.